UACGAAGGGUGCAAGCGUUACUCGGAAUUACUGGGCGUAAAGGGUGCGUAGGUGGUUUGUCAAGUCAUCUGUGAAAUCUCCGGGCUUAACCCGGAACGGUCAGGUGAUACUGUUUUGCUAGAGUGCGGAAGGGGCAAUCGGAAUUCUCGGUGUAGCGGUGAAAUGCGUAGAUAUCGAGAGGAACACCAGAGGUGAAGACGGGUUGCUGGGCCGACACUGACGCUGACAGCGCGAAAGCCAGGGGAGCAAACGGG
RNAcentral lists this ribosomal RNA (254 nucleotides) under uncultured bacterium. RNAcentral describes it as "partial 16S ribosomal RNA". It matches the Rfam family "Bacterial small subunit ribosomal RNA", at positions 524 to 776 of the family's 1533-position model. The record is from RNAcentral.